RNAcentral lists this non-coding RNA (23 nucleotides) under Cricetulus griseus (Chinese hamster). Lineage: Eukaryota; Metazoa; Chordata; Mammalia; Rodentia; Cricetidae. The record is from RNAcentral.
AGAUGAGUGGAUCUUGGGCCAGA